Molecule: long non-coding RNA, 977 nt
Filed under: Homo sapiens (human)
Lineage: Eukaryota; Metazoa; Chordata; Mammalia; Primates; Hominidae
Description: HSALNT0159636
Source: RNAcentral
GGAAUUUGCAACCAUAGACAGCACAGUGAAGACAGGUGUUAACUUGAAGGCUGUACACAAACAGUGAAUUCUCAAGUCUCCUCCCCUUCCCUCCCCUAGGCGCUGUGCACAAUUAAAAUAGCAGAGUUCCCAUCUCCAAGGAAUUUGCAACCAUAGACAGCACAGUGAAGACAGGUGUUAACUUGAAGGCAGCGCACAAACGAUCUCCUGCCCUGGGAGAAGCCAGCUGCCAUAUCAUGAGAACGUGUAAGCAUCCUUGAGGAGCGGUCCAUGUGCUUUCCAGUGACUGCAGCCCUGGCCAACCUCUUGAUGGCCUCCUCAUGAGAGCUGAUGAGCCAGGACCACCCAGUGAAGCCAUUCCUGGAUUCGUGUCCUGCAGACACGGUGCAGCAGGUACUGGGGACUGGUUGCCACCAUUACAGCAUUAGUUGGUGCUAUAGACUGAAUGUAAGUGUCCCCUGAAAUUCGUAUGUUGAAACCCUAAUCCCCAAUGUGAUGGUAUUUGGAAUUGGGGCAUUGGAAAGUAAUUAGGUCAUGAGGGUUGAGCCCUCAUGGAGGGAUUAGUGCCCUUGGAAGAAGAGGAAAUGACAAGAACCUCCUUUCACCCCCCAGUCUCUGUGCAUGCACCAAGCAAAGGCCAUGUGAGGACAUACCAGGAAAAGGCCCUCACCAGACACCAAAUCUGCCAGCACUCCAGUCUUGAACUUCCCAGCUUCUAGAACGAUGAGAAAUAAACUUCUAUUGUUUAAGCCACCCAAUGUAGAGUAUCUUGUUAUAGUGGUCUGGAAUGACUAAAUCAGUUGGUGACGGAAGUGAUAUGGGAGAUAACAUCAAGUAAAGAGUUUAUAUACCAUGUAAAGAGCAAAAGUGCUUAAGGGGCCAGGUGCGGUGGCUCACGCCUGUAAUCCCAGCACUUUAGGAGGCCGAGGCAGAUGAAUCACCUGAGGUCAGGAGUUCAAGACCAGCCUGGCCAAAAU